RNAcentral lists this ribosomal RNA (535 nucleotides) under Bifidobacterium adolescentis. RNAcentral describes it as "partial 16S ribosomal RNA". It matches the Rfam family "Bacterial small subunit ribosomal RNA", at positions 161 to 706 of the family's 1533-position model. Lineage: Bacteria; Bacillati; Actinomycetota; Actinomycetes; Bifidobacteriales; Bifidobacteriaceae. The record is from RNAcentral.
UGGUAAUGCCGGAUGCUCCAGUUGACCGCAUGGUCCUCUGGGAAAGCUUUUGCGGUAUGGGAUGGGGUCGCGUCCUAUCAGCUUGAUGGCGGGGUAACGGCCCACCAUGGCUUCGACGGGUAGCCGGCCUGAGAGGGCGACCGGCCACAUUGGGACUGAGAUACGGCCCAGACUCCUACGGGAGGCAGCAGUGGGGAAUAUUGCACAAUGGGCGCAAGCCUGAUGCAGCGACGCCGCGUGCGGGAUGACGGCCUUCGGGUUGUAAACCGCUUUUGACUGGGAGCAAGCCCUUCGGGGUGAGUGUACCUUUCGAAUAAGCACCGGCUAACUACGUGCCAGCAGCCGCGGUAAUACGUAGGGUGCAAGCGUUAUCCGGAAUUAUUGGGCGUAAAGGGCUCGUAGGCGGUUCGUCGCGUCCGGUGUGAAAGUCCAUCGCUUAACGGUGGAUCCGCGCCGGGUACGGGCGGGCUUGAGUGCGGUAGGGGAGACUGGAAUUCCCGGUGUAACGGUGGAAUGUGUAGAUUCGGAAAAAGAA